UCAGCAGUCCCAAAAUAUUAGUCAAUGCUCGAAAGAGUGAACUAGCUAACUGAAUCAAUUAAAAAAUUGAUAACAUAAGGGAAAAUAAUGAUAUUACCUUAUUAUUAGUGUCGUCCAAAACUGGUGCCAGAAGACUCGGUAAGGCCAGAGACACAAACGUUAAUCGUCUUAAUCAGGCGUAAAGGGUUUGUAGGCUGCUUUUAAUUUACUUAUAAAUCUUAUAAAAAUAAGUUAAGAAUAAAAGCUAGAAUCAAAUAGAGGAUAUAUUAAAUAAUGUUUAGAGUAGGUCUGAUAUCCUUAGAUACUAAGUAGAAUAUUAAAGGCGAAAGCUUUUUUUCCAUAAAUGAUUGACGCUCAGAAACGAAGGUGAGGAUAGGAAAUAGGAUUAGAUACCCAAAAUACCCCUCUCUGUCAACGAUGAAUGGUAAUUAUUAAUAAUAAAUUUAUUAUUAAUGGUAAUGUUAACACGAUAACCAUUCCGCCUUGUGAGUACAACUGCAAAGUUGAAAACAAAAAAAUUAGUCGGUUUCGGAGCAAACGAAGUGAAGCAUGUUAUUUAAUUCAUUUAAUCCGCA
This 575-nucleotide ribosomal RNA is filed under the name Russula sp. Its description in RNAcentral is "SSU rRNA". It matches the Rfam family "Bacterial small subunit ribosomal RNA", at positions 348 to 965 of the family's 1533-position model. Lineage: Eukaryota; Fungi; Basidiomycota; Agaricomycetes; Russulales; Russulaceae. The record is from RNAcentral.